ACAACAAAAAACAACAACCUUACCGAAGACCGAGUUGUUCAUGAGUUUGAAGAAGUUCUUCUCGAAAGCAGUCUUGGCUUGUUGUCGCAUUUUGGUGUUGAACUCAACGUAGGGUUUCAUGAAAGCCUCUUGUUGGAACUCUAAUACUUUAUGUAUUUUUUUCAAUUUUAGACCGAGUUGGAGAUACAGUUGCAGGUUGCGAUAGUGAAGUACAUAAUUCUGUUUGUUUUCUAAAGUGGUAGAAAUACAAUGGGGGUUUGAUGUGGAAAGAUGUCUGUACGAAGUUUAUAUAACGGGUUAGAAUGUGGACUUACAUCCACCAGAAGCUUGGGGAUGUCUCGCCAGAACUUAGACAGAAUGCUGGAGAACUACGAUACAACUUCACAUUAACAUCCACUUGGUUUAACAGAUCGAGAUAGUCCAUCGAAUUCUGACCACUGAUUUGAAACUCAAUGGGAGUAUCAUCCGACACUUGGGAUAUUGGACGAAUCUCUUGAUAAUGGACAUCAUUCACCGCAACUUGUGUAGGAGCUCACUUUUCGCCUGGUUUACUGUCUGUUCCGAUGGGGAAACUGUGCUGAUUGUCAUACCAUUACUUCCCAUCUUCGACUUGUGUGGAAUGGCAAAUCCCCUCCCAACUUGAGAUCAUCCGGGGAUAUCGCCAUAUUGAAAACCCGCCAGAGGUUCGGUCCACGUCCAUGGUGCUCGGGAUGAGUCAUUGGAGAACGAAGAUCGGGUGUCCUUAUGCUGCCAUGAAAUGUCGUUUUUAUGAUGUCCAAUUAUGUUCAAAAAUAAACAACUUGGAGAAUGUG
This is a long non-coding RNA of Mya arenaria, 812 nucleotides long. RefSeq lists it as uncharacterized. NCBI's taxonomy places the organism in Eukaryota, Metazoa, Mollusca, Bivalvia, Myida, Myidae. The transcript is spliced from 6 exons. The record is from RefSeq and is a predicted model, not a curated record.